Molecule: ribosomal RNA, 762 nt
Filed under: Klebsiella pneumoniae
Lineage: Bacteria; Pseudomonadati; Pseudomonadota; Gammaproteobacteria; Enterobacterales; Enterobacteriaceae
Description: bacterial SSU rRNA
Rfam family: Bacterial small subunit ribosomal RNA
Source: RNAcentral
CCGCUAUGGCCGCAGCCUAACACAUGCAAGUCGAGCGGUAGCACAGAGAGCUUGCUCUCGGGUGACGAGCGGCGGACGGGUGAGUAAUGUCUGGGAAACUGCCUGAUGGAGGGGGAUAACUACUGGAAACGGUAGCUAAUACCGCAUAACGUCGCAAGACCAAAGUGGGGGACCUUCGGGCCUCAUGCCAUCAGAUGUGCCCAGAUGGGAUUAGCUAGUAGGUGGGGUAACGGCUCACCUAGGCGACGAUCCCUAGCUGGUCUGAGAGGAUGACCAGCCACACUGGAACUGAGACACGGUCCAGACUCCUACGGGAGGCAGCAGUGGGGAAUAUUGCACAAUGGGCGCAAGCCUGAUGCAGCCAUGCCGCGUGUAUGAAGAAGGCCUUCGGGUUGUAAAGUACUUUCAGCGGGGAGGAAGGCGAUAAGGUUAAUAACCUUGUCGAUUGACGUUACCCGCAGAAGAAGCACCGGCUAACUCCGUGCCAGCAGCCGCGGUAAUACGGAGGGUGCAAGCGUUAAUCGGAAUUACUGGGCGUAAAGCGCACGCAGGCGGUCUGUCAAGUCGGAUGUGAAAUCCCCGGGCUCAACCUGGGAACUGCAUUCGAAACUGGCAGGCUAGAGUCUUGUAGAGGGGGGUAGAAUUCCAGGUGUAGCGGUGAAAUGCGUACAGAUCUGGAGGAAUACCGGUGGAGAAGGCGGCCCCCCUGUACAAAACUGACGCUUCAGGUGCGAAAGCGUGGGGAGUAAACAGGAUAGAUAC